AGAGCAAUAGCUGGGUUAAAGGGUGGCUCCAUUCCCAGCUUUCCAAGGAAUGUCCAUACUGCUUUCUAAAUUGGCUGCACCAAUUUACAGUCCCAUCAGCAGU
Molecule: microRNA precursor, 103 nt
Filed under: Marmota monax (woodchuck)
Lineage: Eukaryota; Metazoa; Chordata; Mammalia; Rodentia; Sciuridae
Source: RNAcentral